AUUAUUCUUUAAAAAGCAAGCUUUUGCCUGUACGAGUUAUCAUUGGAACUGAAAAAGGCCCAGUGUCUCCACCCACCUUUUUUUUUUUAACUAUUCCCGGUCUUACUGAACAGGGAGAAGGACUGGGUUACACUGCCACCAAAAACCCCCUCCACAUCAUAGGAAGGGUGCAAUUCUUGUCAUUUUAAAACCUCAUCCUGUUCCAACUGCUGGGUAACUAGCUCUGACUGGAUUUAUUGUUAUUCCUUCAAGACCCCUCACUCCAGACACCACAAUAUUCUUUUAAAAUCUCAUCUUUUUCUCUUCUUUUUUCUAAGGUUCAAGGGUUGGAGAGGGACGUGAUCGAAACCCCACCAUCUUCCAUUCUGCUUCCCAGACUUAGGUUUCGAGCUCAGAUGACCAACCCUUCUCUGAACUUUAGCCUUAAUCAAAGCAAGAAGCGUUUUAAGGACCUACAGUGUCCUGGGCAAUAUCCUAGGGUUCUUGGGGAAAAAAGGGGAAUAGACACUGACUCCAGCUACUUAAUUGGGCUAUGGUAGUAACAACACAACCUGUGCAUAUUUACCUCUGCUCCUGGAGAGAAGAGAGGAAGAGGAAAUGAUUCCAAAAUACUGACUGGCAGAUCAGAAAGAAAAGACUUGCCAAGAAGAUGAAUGUGUUUCUCUCUUUAUGGUGUCCAUCUCAUGUUUAAUUACAUUGGCAUUCUGAUUUAGCAAUGGAGUUACUGAUUUAGGAACUUCCCUCUUUCCCCUUUCCUUCCCUCCCCAUUCCAGCAUCACCAAGGCAUCCGCAUAGAGUAACUUCAUAUUUUGGAAAUAUUUUAAGGUAAACAAAGCUUUAUACAUCAAGAAAUUGCUGUGAUAUACUAUUCAGUGAAUAGGCAUGUUUAAAUCUGAACUUUGAUAGGAGCUACAUAAUUCUGAUCAAUUCACUUUAUAAAUGUGGACAUCAUUUUCCUCAUGCAAAGGGUGUUUGAGCAUUUUUAGUGUGGAAGUGCAACUCGAACACUGCCUUCUAUAUGAGGCCUUUUUGAACACCUCUAGUUUAUAUUUGUAUUGAUUGUUAUUUUGGAUUUAAAUGCAAAAAAAGUUUUUUCAUGUUUAUAUCAGUACACAAAAAGAAUGAAUGAAACUGUGAAUCUCCAUUUUUUACUGUUUGUUUUUUAAAAGUAUAUAACAAUACAUCUUCAUGAGGUAUACUUCUAUUUUGUAACUGCACUUUCAAGAGCAAAAUUACUGUGAACUUGGAGUAUUUUAACUCUGUCUUAGUAAACCAUAGUGAUUUCUAGCUUUACAAAUAUAAACAGGUAUACACAAGAUUCAUGCAAUAGAGACUGAUGAUAACCUUUAAAGAAAGAUACUAACAGUAUGGGACUCCUGCAAAAAAAAAAAAGUGAAUUUCAAGCUGAGUCUUAAAUCAAGGAUUCUAAAAGGCACAGAAUAGGAAAGAGAUCAUUUCAGAAGACUUAGGUAUAAAUCUAAGCUCUACUACUUACUUUACUAGCCUCAGAAGUCACUUAAUAUUCUUGACUUCACAUUUUUCAUCUGUAAAAUGAGGGAUACAGCAGAAAGAUAGAUUUCUAAUAUCUAGAGAUUUAAUCUGAGAAAUAUAUAGAAAUUUUUUCAAAAUAGUUUAUAUUAUAAACAUUUAUUAAUAUAAUGAUAAACUACAAAUUCAAUUUGAGUUUUGUGAGUAUUAUCAAUACCUGGCUCAUAUAUUAUUUUGAUCAACCUAAUUUUAAGUAAUGGGUCCAGAAGAAGAAAAAUGAAGCACACCAUUGAUCUUACCUUAAAAAACAAAAAAUAAAAAGAUAGUAAUUUUCAAGCAUUGCUAGUAUGGAAAUGUGCUAGUAUAGGCAAAUACAUAUUGAAGGAUUUUUUAUUUUUUCAAAAACAAGUAUUUUUUAUUCAUCUGUUCCUCCACUAUGCACAUUUAACAAACUUUUUAACACACACACACACACACACACAUAUCUGCAUAUGGUUACCAGCAGAAGAAAUUCCCAUGGAUGAAAUUUUAAGUUGCUUUCUAUAUUUGAAUUUCUCAGGGCCAGGAGAUGAAUGGUAUGUUUUUCCUUUAUUUAUUUGGAUUCGUAGUUUAUUAUUGAGCUCAUCAAAUUUCUAAGGUCUUUAAAGUCUUAAACACUAUGCUACAAUAGUGCCUGGCAGAAAAGAGGCACCUAAUGAAUGUUCAGUAACCAGUCACUUCUGUAUGUUAUACACCUAAUCUGUCCUACUGACUUUUUAAAAAAAUCAGUACCACCUUGUUUUAAUGAUUACUGUUUUGUAAUGUAGUUUGAGAUUUGAUACUGAUAGGUUACUCUCUGUUCCAUUCUUCAUUUUUAACCUUGAGAUUCAUUGAUUUGAAUUUUGAUAUUAAUAUAUGAAAGCCAUUUUGACAAUAAGCAUCUCUUGUCCACUUGAUUUUUCCUAGAUGGAUGCUAGGUCAAGCUCUUUUGAAUGCUUAUAAGUCUCAUUCAUGGCUCUGUCCAAGGCUUGACAAAAGCAGGACAAUGUAAUUGAAAACUCUAGUAUAUGAAAGACUUUAUCAUAUAUAGUAAUCCCUCUUCAAUUUGUAUUCUGAACUAGAUCUCUAUUGUAGUGAUGAAAAUCUUUGACAAUUAUAAAGCUGUAUCUUGUGUGACUCACCUAAUAUUAAAUAACAGAAAGUCAUUGAAUAAGGCUUUCACCAUUAUUAUAUCUUCCAAGGAAUCUUUUAAAUUUUAACAUAUACAUGAGAGAUAACUUGUUUAAAAAGAGCAUUCAAAUUAAUACUUUACUCAGUGGGGAUCUUAAAAAAUUCAACAAGUACAAUGGAAUAAUCUGCACUAUACACUUUAGAAAAUUAUGUGAUGGUAAAGAUUUAUUCUACUGUUAUAUGUCAAUUAUGAAGGCUUGAAUCCUCAUUUCUUAUUCCUUUAUAAAUGAAGCCCUUGAUGAAUGUAGUAAUUAUUCUAAUCAAAUUUUAUAAAUAAGAAUGUUGGCAUUGUUAAUGUUCUCUCAGUCAUCUUUUUAAAAACAAUUUACUGAUAUCUUUUAUUUUUAAAUCAUAGUCAUUUCCGGAAAUAAGCACUUACCACCAGCAACUUGCAACAAAGAAAAAUGAAUUAUGCAAAACCAGAUAAUAUAUAAUAACCAUAUCAGACAAGUUUGUUUUAGUGAUCCUCCAUUUAUCUGCUGUGAAGAGGGGUUAUGGUUUAUUAUUAGUUCUUAGAUCUUAUUUGACUUUUAAGUUAUUCCUUAAAGCUUCCUUUCUUUUCAUUUACAUUAUUGUAAUCAAUGUGUAUGUUGUUCUUUUGGUUUUGUUUAUUUUAUUCUGCAAUAAAAAUCAAUUUAUGUGAAACUCCCCCAGCUUCUCUGAAUCCCUCAUAUUUGUCAUUUCAUAUUAUGAAAUAAUAUCCCAUAUAUUCAUAUGCCAUUAAUUCUAUCCAUUCCCCAGUUGAUGGUUGUGUACUUUGUUCCCAAGGAAGACUACUAAAAAUAUUGUGAUCAUCA
This is a long non-coding RNA of Monodelphis domestica (gray short-tailed opossum), 3494 nucleotides long. RefSeq lists it as uncharacterized. The record is from RefSeq and is a predicted model, not a curated record. NCBI's taxonomy places the organism in Eukaryota, Metazoa, Chordata, Mammalia, Didelphimorphia, Didelphidae.